Molecule: ribosomal RNA, 506 nt
Filed under: uncultured bacterium
Lineage: Bacteria
Description: partial 16S ribosomal RNA
Rfam family: Bacterial small subunit ribosomal RNA
Source: RNAcentral
AUUGAACGCUGGCGGCAGGCCUAACACAUGCAAGUCGGACGGUAGCACAGAGGAGCUUGCUCCUUGGGUGACGAGUGGCGGACGGGUGAGUAAUGUCUGGGGAUCUGCCCGAUAGAGGGGGAUAACCACUGGAAACGGUGGCUAAUUCCGCAUAACGUCGCAAGACCAAAGAGGGGGACCUUCGGGCCUCGCACUAUCGCAUGAACCCAGAUGGGAUUAGCUAGUAGGCGGGGUAAUGGCCCACCUAGGAGACGAUCCCUAGCUGGUCUGAGAGAGUGACCAGCCACACUGGAACUGAGACACGGUCCAGACUCCUACGGGAGGCAGCAGUGGGGAAUAUUGCACAAUGGGCGCAAGCCUGAUGCAGCCAUGCCGCGUGUAUGAAGAAGGCCUUCGGGUUGUAAAGUACUUUCAGCGGGGAGGAAGGCGGUGAGGUUAAUAACCUCGCCGAUUGACGUUACCCGCAGAAGAAGCACCGGCUAACUCCGUGCCAGCAGCCGCCGUAA